Molecule: ribosomal RNA, 465 nt
Filed under: uncultured bacterium
Lineage: Bacteria
Description: partial 16S ribosomal RNA
Rfam family: Bacterial small subunit ribosomal RNA
Source: RNAcentral
CCUACGGGAGGCAGCAGUAGGGAAUCUUCCACAAUGGACGAAAGUCUGAUGGAGCAACGCCGCGUGAGUGAAGAAGGGUUUCGGCUCGUAAAGCUCUGUUGGUAGUGAAGAAAGAUACAGGUAGUAACUGACCUUUCUUUGCCGGUAAUUACUUAGAAAGUCCCGGCUAACUACGUGCCAGCAGCCGCGGUAAUACGUCGGUGGCAAGCGUUGUCCGGAUUUAUUGGGCGUAAAGGGAGUGCAGGCGGUUCAAUAAGCCUGAUGUGAAAGCCUUCGGCUCAACCGGAGAAUUGCAUCAGAAACUGUUGAACUGGAGUGCAGAAGAGGAGAGUGGAACUCCAUGUGUAGCGGUGGAAUGCGUAGAUAUAUGGAAGAACACCAGUGGCGAAGGCGGCUCGCUGGACUGCAACUGACGCUGAGGCUCGAAAGCAUGGGUAGCGAACAGGAUUAGAUACCCGAGUAGUC